AACUUUGGACAAUGGGGGCAACCCUGAUCCAGCCAUCCCGCGUGUGCGAUGAAGGCCUUCGGGUUGUCCCGCACUUUUGGCAGGGAAGAAAAGCCGCGGGCCAAUACCCCGCGGUGCUGACGGUACCUGCAGAAUAAGCACCGUCUAACUACGUGCCACCAGCCGCGGUAAUACGUAGGGUGCAAGCGUUAAUCGGAAUUACUGGGCGUAAAGCGUGCGCAGGCGGUUUGGCAAGAAGGAUGUGAAAUCCCGGGGCUUAAUCUCGGAACUGCAUUCUUAACUGCCAGGCUAGAGUAUGUCAGAGGGGGGUAGAAUUCCACGUGUAGCAGUGAAAUGCGUAGAGAUGUGGAGGAAUACCGAUGGCGAAGGCAGCCCCCUGGGAUAAUACUGACGCUCAUGCACGAAAGCGUGGGGAGCAAACAG
RNAcentral lists this ribosomal RNA (423 nucleotides) under uncultured bacterium. RNAcentral describes it as "partial 16S ribosomal RNA". It matches the Rfam family "Bacterial small subunit ribosomal RNA", at positions 360 to 775 of the family's 1533-position model. The record is from RNAcentral.